GUUUGGUUGCAAUAAAUUGUUAGGUACAUUAAACAGUGGGAUUUAUUGCUAGCCGUUAGAUUAAGUUAUUUUUGGAUGAAUCGGAUGGCUGUCGUUUAGAACAGUACAUUUACACCAAAAACGUAACGUAGAUAUUAAUGAGCUGCUGCUUCUCAUCUUCUUUCUUCUCUUUAAGUAGCUAACGUCCGGCGACUGAAUCUUCCGGUAAUGAAUUGAGGAGACCUAGAUUAAGCUUUUAUAGUAACCAUUGAAUUAGUGAUAGUAAAAUUAAUCUGAUGAUUCUUGUUAAAGCAAGUACAAAUCGUGGUCAGUGGUUUUAUGGACAACAUCAUUGAUGAUGUGGUCAGGUUCGUGGUGGUGCUGAGAAUAGAACUGUGGUCAGGGUUGUGAUGGUGUGAGAAAUAUUGUAGUUAGGGUCUUGGUGGCGUGAGAAGUGUGAGUAGGAGAACAGUGGUCAGUGGUUUUGUGGAGUCGUGGCCAUCAGAAGUGUGGUUGGGUGGGGCUUGGUCAGUAGAAGUGAGAGUGUUUUGGCUGGGGUGAAGAGAAGGUCCACCGUCGUAAGAGAAAUGGUGUUGGAUAUUGGAUUACUGAUGUGUGACUUCAUUGAUGAUAUGGUCAGGGUCGUGGUGGUGAUGAGAAUGGAACCAUGGGAGUGGAGCUUUAAAAGAAACGAGAAGUUGUUGACUUGAUCUCCGAUUCUCUUUAUAUCUUCUUCUCCAUCCGGCCAGUUUUUUGAAUGUAUUAAUAGAACCAAAUAGGAUAUAUCUAAUGAAUGAAAUCAUGAAAGAGUUCAAAGCGGUGUAUAACAAGAUAGAUCUAAUGAAUGAAAUUAUGGAAUUCAGAGCAGUGUAUAACAAGAUGAUGAACACAUAUAUAGUUCGUAGUUGUGAUGUAGGUGGUGAAGAAAAGAGAGAAAGAGAGAUAGAAAUUGACAAUGGAGAGGAAGAACAAAUGCGGCAUACUAGGGUUUCUGAUUUUUUUAUUUUCUGUAAAAAGUAAAUUUAAGUUAAUUGUAAAAUAGAUGUUAACUUGGUUUGUUUAGUUAGAAGGGCUUUUUGGGUAAAAUACAUGUGAAAAGUAUGUGUCAAGUUAAAAGUAUGUUAGAAUGUAAAAGGAGAGAGAAAAAGUAUACG
Molecule: long non-coding RNA, 1133 nt
Filed under: Brassica napus (rape)
Lineage: Eukaryota; Viridiplantae; Streptophyta; Magnoliopsida; Brassicales; Brassicaceae
Description: long non-coding RNA (BNAP_LNC024870)
Source: RNAcentral